GUGCGGGGGGCAGCUACCAUGCAGUCGAGCGGUAACAGAUCCAGCUUGCUGGAUGCUGACGAGCGGCGGACGGGUGAGUAAUGCAUAGGAAUCUGCCCGAUAGUGGGGGAUAACCUGGGGAAACCCAGGCUAAUACCGCAUACGUCCUACGGGAGAAAGGGGGCUUCGGCUCCCGCUAUCGGAUGAGCCUAUGUCGGAUUAGCUAGUUGGUGAGGUAACGGCUCACCAAGGCCACGAUCCGUAGCUGGUCUGAGAGGAUGAUCAGCCACAUCGGGACUGAGACACGGCCCGAACUCCUACGGGAGGCAGCAGUGGGGAAUAUUGGACAAUGGGGGGAACCCUGAUCCAGCCAUGCCGCGUGUGUGAAGAAGGCCCUCGGGUUGUAAAGCACUUUCAGCGAGGAAGAACGCCUAGCGGUUAAUACCCGCUAGGAAAGACAUCACUCGCAGAAGAAGCACCGGCUAACUCCGUGCCAGCAGCCGCGGUAAUACGGAGGGUGCAAGCGUUAAUCGGAAUUACUGGGCGUAAAGCGCGCGUAGGUGGCUUGAUAAGCCGGUUGUGAAAGCCCCGGGCUCAACCUGGGAACGGCAUCCGGAACUGUCAAGCUAGAGUGCAGGAGAGGAAGGUAGAAUUCCCGGUGUAGCGGUGAAAUGCGUAGAGAUCGGGAGGAAUACCAGUGGCGAAGGCGGCCUUCUGGACUGACACUGACACUGAGGUGCGAAAGCGUGGGUAGCAAACAGGAUUAGAUAUCCUUGGUAGUC
This 761-nucleotide ribosomal RNA is filed under the name Vreelandella aquamarina. Its description in RNAcentral is "bacterial SSU rRNA". It matches the Rfam family "Bacterial small subunit ribosomal RNA", at positions 37 to 795 of the family's 1533-position model. Lineage: Bacteria; Pseudomonadati; Pseudomonadota; Gammaproteobacteria; Oceanospirillales; Halomonadaceae. The record is from RNAcentral.